UACGGGGGGGGCAAGCGUUGUUCGGAAUUACUGGGCGUAAAGGGCUCGUAGGUGGCCAACUAAGUCGGACGUGAAAUCCCUCGGCUUAACCGGGGAACUGCGUCUGAUACUGGAUGGCUUGAGUUCGGGAGAGGGAUGCGGAAUUCCAGGUGUAGCGGUGAAAUGCGUAGAUAUCUGGAGGAACACCGGUGGCGAAGGCGGCAUCCUGGACCGACACUGACGCUGAGGAGCGAAAGCCAGGGGAGCAAACGGG
This 253-nucleotide ribosomal RNA is filed under the name uncultured bacterium. Its description in RNAcentral is "partial 16S ribosomal RNA". It matches the Rfam family "Bacterial small subunit ribosomal RNA", at positions 524 to 776 of the family's 1533-position model. The record is from RNAcentral.